CCUACGGGUGGCUGCAGUGAGGAAUAUUGGUCAAUGGACGAGAGUCUGAACCAGCCAAGUAGCGUGAAGGAUGACUGCCCUAUGGGUUGUAAACUUCUUUUAUAAAGGAAUAAAACGAGGCACGUGUGCCGUUUUGCAUGUACUUUAUGAAUAAGGAUCGGCUAACUCCGUGCCAGCAGCCGCGGUAAUACGGAGGAUCCGAGCUUUAUCCGGAUUUAUUGGGUUUAAAGGGAGCGUAGAUGGGUUGUUAAGUCAGUUGCGAAAGUUUGCGGCUCAACCGUAAAAUUGCAAUUGAUACUGGCAGUCUUGAGUACAGUUGAGGUAGGCGGAAUUCGUGGUGUAGCGGUGAAAUGCUUAGAUAUCACGAAGAACCCCGAUUGCGAAGGCAGCUUACUAAACUGUGACUGACAUUGAUGCUCGAAAGUGUGGGUAUCAAACAGGAUUAGAUACCCUUGUAGUC
This 460-nucleotide ribosomal RNA is filed under the name uncultured bacterium. RNAcentral describes it as "partial 16S ribosomal RNA". It matches the Rfam family "Bacterial small subunit ribosomal RNA", at positions 338 to 795 of the family's 1533-position model. The record is from RNAcentral.